GACGAACGCUGGCGGCGUGCUUAACACAUGCAAGUCGAACGGAAAGGCCUCUUUCGGGGGGUACUCGAGUGGCGAACGGGUGAGUAACACGUGAGUAUCCUGCCCUUGACUUUGGGAUAACUUCAGGAAACUGGGGCUAAUACCGGAUAGGAGCUCCUGCUGCAUGGUGGGGGUUGGAAAGUUUCGGCGGUUGGGGAUGGACUCGCGGCUUAUCAGCUUGUUGGUGGGGUAGUGGCUUACCAAGGCUUUGACGGGUAGCCGGCCUGAGAGGGUGACCGGCCACAUUGGGACUGAGAUACGGCCCAGACUCCUACGGGAGGCAGCAGUGGGGAAUAUUGCACAAUGGGUGGAAGCCUGAUGCAGCAACGCCGUGUGCGGGAUGACGGCCUUCGGGUUGUAAACCGCUUUCGCUCAUGACGAAGCUUUGUGUGACGGUAGUGGGUAAAGAAGCACCGGCUAACUACGUG
Molecule: ribosomal RNA, 467 nt
Filed under: uncultured bacterium
Lineage: Bacteria
Description: partial 16S ribosomal RNA
Rfam family: Bacterial small subunit ribosomal RNA
Source: RNAcentral